Long non-coding RNA from Mesoplodon densirostris (Blainville's beaked whale), 1321 nucleotides. RefSeq lists it as uncharacterized. The transcript has 3 exons. The record is from RefSeq and is a predicted model, not a curated record. Lineage: Eukaryota; Metazoa; Chordata; Mammalia; Artiodactyla; Ziphiidae.
GCGGAAGUUGUGCAGCUCGAAGUCGGCGUCGACCUGGAGGGAAAAGGUCACCUCGGAGAGGUCCCUCCGCACACAGUACACGGUUUCACAGGCCUGUUGCAGGGUGCCCACACAUCCUGGUCUGCACGCUGGGACCUCGACUUCAUGAACUGACGUGUGGAUAACCAGGCUCCGCCGCCUCACUCACGAGAAGCUGAAUUAGUUCUCUAAAUUCACAAUGAUAACUGGAAGGACAAAUGAGAUAAAAUACAGCAAGUGUUGAAUUCAGAAGGAAAUUGGAAUGUAAAAAAAGUCAUCAUGAAACAGGACAAAUACUUUAUCAUACCACUGAUUUUAUUAUACUACAGGAAAUAUUGUAUCACGCAUGCUUUAUUUGUGUGAGAUCUCUAUCUGUACUUCAAGCAUUGAUCUUUAUCCUCCAAACACGUAUAUGAAGAUGUUCUGGGACUUCCCUGGUGGUCCAGUGGGUAAGACUCCGCGCUCCCAAUGCAGGGGGCCCGGGUUCCAUCCCGGGUCGGAGAACUAGAUCCCACAUGCAUGCCGCAGCUAAGAGUUCGCAUGCUGCAACUAAGAGUCCGGGUGCCACAAUGAAGAUCCCACGUGUCGCAAUGAAGACCCCGAGCAGCCUAAAUAAAUAAAUAUUAAAAAAAAGAAAAGAAAAGGAAUGCAUCGGAGACUGGCCGGGGCUUUGAAAAAUCUAAACGUAUUCCUCAAGAAAAAAAUCAAAUGGUGCAAAGAUAACAUUAAGAUAGCCCAUUAUAUUAUCAAAUUGUUGAGGUGUCAGGAUGAAAUCUGAUGGACUAAACCAUCUAAACUGUAUGUCACCUGAUUGAGUGAUUGAAUGAGAGCUCUGUCCAUUUUCUGAAUUCUCCUCCUUUCUUUGUUAGAUGAUCAAGCAGAAGUUUUCUGUGCCCUCUCCUGGUUUGACUUUGAAACUGCAUAACAGGGAUCUUUAAACUUCAUUGGGUGGGGCUUUUCUUCAGUAAAUUCUCGCUCUCCCUCCCCUUCCUCUUGCGUUCGAAGGCUCAUUUUGAACUACAGAGAGACAGAGGGGCCGGAAGAACUGUUCAAUCAUUCACUCACCUACUAAACAUUUAUUAUAUUCGUUUUUCUUUAACAAAGCACUGCCCUUGGAGGUCAGCCAAAAGGAAGAAGCAGAUAUUGGAACUUAAAAUUUACUAGAACAGAGCUUCGGAAUCUUCUUCCUGUCACGGCACACAUAGAAAAUUACACAAUUUUAAGAACGUAAAUGGGAAAAGAAUUUGAAAAAGGAUAGAUACACGUAUAUAUAUAACUGAAGCACUUUGCUGUACACCUGAAA